RNAcentral lists this ribosomal RNA (303 nucleotides) under uncultured bacterium. RNAcentral describes it as "partial 16S ribosomal RNA". It matches the Rfam family "Bacterial small subunit ribosomal RNA", at positions 507 to 807 of the family's 1533-position model. The record is from RNAcentral.
AGCAGUCGCCGCGGUAAAACGAAGGGUGCAAGCGUUAAUCGGAAUUACUGGGCGUAAAGUGUGCGUAGGCGGUUUGUUAAGUCUGCUGUGAAAUCCCCGGGCUCAACCUGGGAAUGGCAGUGGAUACUGGCAAGCUAGAGUGUGUCAGAGGAUGGUGGAAUUCCCGGUGUAGCGGUGAAAUGCGUAGAGAUCGGGAGGAACAUCAGUGGCGAAGGCGGCCAUCUGGGACAACACUGACGCUGAGGCACGAAAGCGUGGGGAGCAAACAGGAUUAGAUACCCCUGUAGUCCCUGUCUCUUAUAC